This 253-nucleotide ribosomal RNA is filed under the name uncultured bacterium. Its description in RNAcentral is "partial 16S ribosomal RNA". It matches the Rfam family "Bacterial small subunit ribosomal RNA", at positions 524 to 776 of the family's 1533-position model. The record is from RNAcentral.
UACGAGGGGUGCAAGCGUUGCUCGGAAUUAUUGGGCGUAAAGGGUAGGUAGGUGGUCUCGUUUGUCUGGGGUGAAAGCCUUGAGCUUAACUCAAGAAGUGCCCUAGAAACGGCGAGACUGGAGUCUUGGAGAGGGUCGUGGAAUUCCCGGUGUAGCGGUGAAAUGCGUAGAUAUCAGGAGGAACACCAAUGGCGAAGGCAGCUCGCUGGGACGGUACUGACGCUGAGACGCGAAAGCGUGGGGAGCAAACAGG